AGAUGAUGAAGAGACUGUGCAGCUGUGGAAAGCAGUGGGUUUCUUCCACUGUGUCCGUCUCCCGCGCGCACUGGAUCCCAGCGUGGGUGGUCGCUGCGUGGAGUGGAGUGGAGUGCUCAGGUGAUAAUACAUGGAGAGGACUAACUAAUCAUUCUGGAGCUGCAGGAAAUGCUGUCAUGCGAUGCUGAUUGGGUGUCACUGAAAGAACGUGCCCAAUACUAGACACUACCCUCCCAUCAAAGCAAGCUAACAGGGAAACGUACAGAUCUGAAACCAGAAAGAAAAAAAAACCCAAAACGUUUACUUUGCCAUUCUUAAUCAGUGAGUGUGACAGACCUGACCGAGGAGGGCAGCUUUUCAUCA
This is a long non-coding RNA of Puntigrus tetrazona (Sumatra barb), 363 nucleotides long. RefSeq lists it as uncharacterized. The transcript is spliced from 3 exons. Lineage: Eukaryota; Metazoa; Chordata; Actinopteri; Cypriniformes; Cyprinidae. The record is from RefSeq and is a predicted model, not a curated record.